AAAUAUUGCUUAUUAGCACACAACCCCAAAUCUUAACAUGCUUGAGAUUUGUCUUUCUUUCCAGCUACAUCUUAUGGAGUUAUGAAAAUUUUGGAAGAUCUUCUAAUUUACAAUCAUAUUGUUUUAGAAGUAUAUAUAUCCUAUAUAUGGGUAAUAGAUAACAACUAACGAACUAAAUCUUAUUCGAGUUCGUUCUUCUCCUAAUGGAGAAAUACAUUAUCUUAUGAUGCUACUUUCCUUGAAUGUCUUUCAUGGAAACUCAUCUAAAGUGUUACUUUUCCUUGGAUCAAAUCUAAGGAGGUAAAUACUUUAGACGUCUUACUCAUUAACUUACAUUUCUUGAAUAAACAAUAGUCCAACCGAGAGAGAUCUUUGGUGAAUGUCAUAUAACAUGAGUAGUAUUAUGUUGUGGACAAGUGCCACUAACAUCUAAGUGAAUUAACCUCAACAACUUUGUGAUUCUUUCUUCUUUCCAAAAGAAUACAGAUUCGAACAUUUCGCCUCUAUACAAUUUUAACAAGAAGGUAUUGGAUCCGGAUCUAACGAUCCAAAGCGUCCAUCUAUGACCAACUCGUAAUUUAUGUUUUAGAGGUAUCACAACUUUAGUUGGGAUUAGUCACUACCUUGCAACCUUUUGGGUUUUAAGCAUCAUUAUAUUCUAAACAGUUAACACCACCAUAUUAUCUCUACUAUAGAGACAAUCAAUUAGAUUACCAUAAUCCAAUCAUUGAUUAAUAAAGAACAUUGUUUUGUCAAACAAAACAUU
Molecule: long non-coding RNA, 766 nt
Filed under: Malus domestica (apple)
Lineage: Eukaryota; Viridiplantae; Streptophyta; Magnoliopsida; Rosales; Rosaceae
Description: long non-coding RNA (MDOM_LNC004508)
Source: RNAcentral